Anolis carolinensis (green anole) is the source of this 2725-nucleotide long non-coding RNA. RefSeq lists it as uncharacterized. The record is from RefSeq and is a predicted model, not a curated record. The transcript has 2 exons. NCBI's taxonomy places the organism in Eukaryota, Metazoa, Chordata, Lepidosauria, Squamata, Anolidae.
AUUAGCAAACAAAAUGGCUCUGUAUAUUUUUACAAGUUUGCAUAUGGGAAAGCCUUGAGCUAUAAAUGCCAAAGAAAUGAACUGGUCAACCAAACAUUCCUUCACAGCCUGAUGUCUUGAAACAAUACAAUAAUCCACACCACCUUCAGGGAGGACUUUAUGGGAGGCUUGCUAGUAGCUGAUUAUAAAUGACUAGGAGGUCUAAAGGAAUUGGGCAAAACAAAAACACUACCACGUUAUAGAAUUGAAAGAAAGGACGUGUGUCCAAACCCCAACCUCUCUGCCUCAGACCUCCCAAUGCAUGAAGGUAUAGAGACACACUAUAAGGAUGGUAAGAUGAAUACACCUUUGGUCCACCAUCUCUGACACUGAGAAUUUGGAUUAUAAAAUGCUACUCUUAGCAUGUAUCUUUAGUUUGAAUGUAUUUACAAUGUAUAAUGCACAAUGCCACAACUCUAGUCCUCAUUUUUACACGUUACCAUAAAAUGCCAUUAGACAGAGCUUAGGGCACAUCUAGAGGGCAGGUUAGCUUAGUCUACCUAUUCCCUUAAAAAGGCUCUGGAUUCAGCACUUGCAUGCCAAAUCUAGGUCUAUUGUCCAGAUAGCCUUGACCACAUCUGCCCUGCUUGGAUUGUCACCUCCUUUGUGUCAUAGAAUCAUAGAAUCAUAGAAUAGUAGAGUUGGAAGAGACCACAUGGGCCAUCCAGUCCAACCCCCUGCAAAGAAGCAGGAAAUCGCAUUCAAAGCACCCCCGAGAGAUGGCCAUCCAGCCUCUGCUUAAAAGCCUCCAAAGAAGGAGCCUCCACCACGGCCCGGGGGAGAGAGUUCCACUGUCGAACAGCUCUCACAGUGAGGAAGUUCUUCCUGAUGUUCAGGUGGAAUCUCCUUUCCUGUAGUUUGAAGCCAUUGUUCCGCGUUCUAGUCUGCAGGGCAGCAGAAAACAAGCUUGCUCCCUCCUCCCUAUGACUUCCCUUCACGUAUUUGUACAUGGCUAUCAUGUCUCCUCUCAGCCUUCUCUUCUGCAGGCUAAACAUGCCCAGUUCUUUGAGCCUCUCCUCAUAGGGCUUGUUCUCCAGACCCUUGAUAAUUUUAGUCGCCCUCCUCUGGAUGCUUUCCAGCUUGUCAACAUCUCCCUUCAACUGUGGUGCCCAAAAUUGGACACAGUAUUCCAGGUGUGGUCUGACCAAGGCAGAAUAGAGGGGGAGCAUAACUUCCCUGGAUCUAGACGCUAUACCCCUAUUGAUGCAGGCCAGAAUCCCGUUGGCUUUCUUAGCAGCUGCAUCACAUUGUAGGCUCAUGUUUAACUUGUUGUCCACAAGGACUCCAAGGUCUUUUUCGCACACACUGCUGUCAAGCCAGGCGUCCCCCAUUCUGUAUCUUUGCAUUCCAUUUUUUCUGCCGAAGUGAAGUAUCUCGCAUUUGUCCCUGUUGAACUUCAUAUUGUUAGUUUCGGCCCAUCUCUCUAGUCUGUCAAGAUCAUUUUGAAUUCUGCUCCUUUCUUCUGGAGUGUUAGCUAUCCCUCCCAGUUUGGUGUCAUCUGCAAACUUGAUGAUUGUGCCUUCUAACCCUUCGUCUAAGUCGUUAAUAAAGAUGUUGAACAGAACCGGGCCCAGGACGGAGCCCUGCGGCACUCCACUUGUCACUUCUUUCCAUGAUGAAGACGAUGCAUUGGUUAGCACCCUUUGGGUUCGUUCGCUUAGCCAAUUACAGAUCCACCUAACCGUAGUUUUGUCUAGCCCACAUUUUACUAGUUUGUUUGCCAGAAGGUCGUGGGGGACUUUGUCGAAGGCCUUACUGAAAUCCAGGUAGGCUACAUCCACGGCAUUCCCUGUAUCGACCCAACUUGUAACUCUAUCGAAAAAAGAGAUCAGAUUAGUCUGGCAUGACUUGUUUUUGGUAAAUCCGUGUUGACUAUUAGCAAUGACCGCAUUUGUUUCUAAGUGUUCGCAGACCACUUCCUUAAUGAUCUUUUCCAGAAUCUUGCCUGGUAUCGAUGUGAGGCUGACCGGACAGUAAUUGUUUGGGUCAUCCUUUUUUCCCUUUUUGAAGAUAGGGACCACAUUCGCCCUCCUCCAAUCUGCUGGGACUUCUCCCGUUCUCCAAGAACUCUCGAAGAUAAUUGCCAGUGGUUCUGAAAUAACUUCCGCUAGUUCCUUCAGUACUCUUGGAUGUAGUUGAUCUGGCCCUGGUGACUUGAAUUCGUUUAGAGCGGCCAGGUGUUCCUGGACAACUUGUUUGCCUAUUUGGGGUUGGAUUUCCCCCAAUCCUUCGUCCAUUCCAUGUUGCUAAGGUUGAAGAUGGCUUUCUUUUUCUGAGAAGACCGAGGCAAAGAAGGUGUUAAACAGUUCUGCCUUUUCCCUAUCCCCUGUCGCCAUCACCCCAUCUUCUCCUUGCAGUGGCCCUAUCGCCUCCUUUUUCUUCCUUUUUCUACCAACGUAAGCAAAAAAGCCUUUUUUGUUGUUUUUUAUGUCCCUGGCAAGCCUGAGCUCAUUUUGCGCUUUAGCCUUGCGAACCUUUUCCCUACAGGUGUUGGCUAUACGUUUGAAUUCUUCUUUGGUGAUUUCUCCCCUUUUCCACUUCUUGUGCAUGUCACUUUUGAGUUUUAGCUCAGUUAGAAGUUCUUUGGACAUCCAUUCUGGCUUCUUUGCACUUGUCUUAUUUUUCUUCUUUGUUGGCACUGUUUGCAUUUGCGCCUUGAGUAUUUCACUUUUGAAAAACUCCCAUC